This 442-nucleotide ribosomal RNA is filed under the name Escherichia coli. RNAcentral describes it as "bacterial SSU rRNA". It matches the Rfam family "Bacterial small subunit ribosomal RNA", at positions 1 to 439 of the family's 1533-position model. Lineage: Bacteria; Pseudomonadati; Pseudomonadota; Gammaproteobacteria; Enterobacterales; Enterobacteriaceae. The record is from RNAcentral.
AAAUUGAAGAGUUUGAUCAUGGCUCAGAUUGAACGCUGGCGGCAGGCCUAACACAUGCAAGUCGAACGGUAACAGGAAUCAGCUUGCUGAUUCGCUGACAAGUGGCGGACGGGUGAGUAAUGUCUGGGAAACUGCCUGAUGGAGGGGGAUAACUACUGGAAACGGUAGCUAAUACCGCAUAACGUCGCAAGACCAAAGAGGGGGACCUUCGGGCCUCUUGCCAUCAGAUGUGCCCAGAUGGGAUUAGCUAGUAGGUGGGGUAACGGCUCACCUAGGCGACGAUCCCUAGCUGGUCUGAGAGGAUGACCAGCCACACUGGAACUGAGACACGGUCCAGACUCCUACGGGAGGCAGCAGUGGGGAAUAUUGCACAAUGGGCGCAAGCCUGAUGCAGCCAUGCCGCGUGUAUGAAGAAGGCCUUCGGGUUGUAAAGUACUUUCAG